Molecule: ribosomal RNA, 165 nt
Filed under: Copaifera officinalis
Lineage: Eukaryota; Viridiplantae; Streptophyta; Magnoliopsida; Fabales; Fabaceae
Description: 5.8S ribosomal RNA
Rfam family: 5.8S ribosomal RNA
About the family: 5.8S ribosomal RNA (5.8S rRNA) is a component of the large subunit of the eukaryotic ribosome. It is transcribed by RNA polymerase I as part of the 45S precursor that also contains 18S and 28S rRNA.
Source: RNAcentral
AACGACUCUCGGCAACGGAUAUCUCGGCUCUCGCAUCGAUGAAGAACGUAGCGAAAUGCGAUACUUGGUGUGAAUUGCAGAAUCCCGCGAACCAUCGAGUCUUUGAACGCAAGUUGCGCCCGAAGCCAUCCGGCCGAGGGCACGUCCGGCUGGGUGUCACGCAAC